RNAcentral lists this ribosomal RNA (473 nucleotides) under uncultured bacterium. Its description in RNAcentral is "bacterial SSU rRNA". It matches the Rfam family "Bacterial small subunit ribosomal RNA", at positions 335 to 799 of the family's 1533-position model. The record is from RNAcentral.
ACUCCUACGGGAGGCAGCAGUGGGGAAUAUUGCACAAUGGGCGCAAGCCUGAUGCAGCCAUGCCGCGUGUAUGAAGAAGGCCUUCGGGUUGUAAAGUACUUUCAGCAGUGAGGAAGGCGGGUACGUUAAUAGCGUGCUCGUUUGACGUUAGCUGCAGAAGAAGCACCGGCUAACUCCGUGCCAGCAGCCGCGGUAAUACGGAGGGUGCGAGCGUUAAUCGGAAUUACUGGGCGUAAAGCGCAUGCAGGUGGUUUGUUAAGUCAGAUGUGAAAGCCCGGGGCUCAACCUCGGAAUAGCAUUUGAAACUGGCAGACUAGAGUACUGUAGAGGGGGGUAGAAUUUCAGGUGUAGCGGUGAAAUGCGUAGAGAUCUGAAGGAAUACCGGUGGCGAAGGCGGCCCCCUGGACAGAUACUGACACUCAGAUGCGAAAGCGUGGGGAGCAAACAGGAUUAGAUACCCUGGUAGGAUAGCG